AGCGAACGUUUGCGGCGGGCUUAACACAUGCAAGUCGAACGAGAAUCCCUUCGGGGAGGAAGUGGCGCACGGGUGCGUAACACGUGGAUAACCAACCCAUUGGUUUGGGACAACACCGGGAAACUGGUGCUAAUACCAGAUGUGUCGCAGCUGUCUUCAGGCGGUUGCGAGAAAGGCCCGCAAGGGUCGCCAACGGACGGGUCCGCGUCCCAUCAGCUAGUUGGUGAGGUAAUGGCUCACCAAGGCAAAGACGGGUAGCUGGUCUGAGAGGAUGAUCAGCCACACUGGAACUGAGACACGGUCCAGGCUCCUACGGGAGGCAGCAGUGGGGAAUAUUGCGCAAUGGGCGAAAGCCUGACGCAGCCACGCCGCGUGAGCGAUGAAGGUCUUCGGAUCGUAAAGCUCUGUGGGGGGAGAAGAAGAAAGACCGGUGAAGAGCCGGCCCUGACGGUAUCCCCUUACGCAAGCACCGGCUAACUCCGUGCCAGCAGCCGCGGUAAAGU
RNAcentral lists this ribosomal RNA (503 nucleotides) under uncultured bacterium. RNAcentral's name for it is "bacterial SSU rRNA". It matches the Rfam family "Bacterial small subunit ribosomal RNA", at positions 29 to 526 of the family's 1533-position model. The record is from RNAcentral.